UGAGGAAUAUUGGUCAAUGGGCGGAAGCCUGAACCAGCCAUGCCGCGUGCAGGACGACGGCCCUACGGGUUGUAAACUGCUUUUCCGGGGGAAGAAUAAGGGCGACGCGUCGCCCGAUGCCGGUACCCCGGGAAUAAGGAUCGGCUAACUCCGUGCCAGCAGCCGCGGUAAUACGGAGGAUCCGAGCGUUAUCCGGAUUUACUGGGUUUAAAGGGUGCGGAGGCGGGCCCCUCAGUCAGCGGUGACAGUCUGCGGCUCAACCGUAGGAUUGCGGUUGAUAGUGGGGGCCUUGGAUUCGGUCGAGGCGGGCGGAAUGCGUGGUGUAGCGGUGAAAUGCUUAGAUAUCACGCAGAACGCCGAUUGCGAAGGCAGCUCGCCGGGCCGAAAUCGACGCUGAGGCACGAAAGCGUGGGGAUCGAACA
Molecule: ribosomal RNA, 422 nt
Filed under: uncultured prokaryote
Description: bacterial SSU rRNA
Rfam family: Bacterial small subunit ribosomal RNA
Source: RNAcentral